CCUACGGGGGGCAGCAGUGGGGAAUAUUGCACAAUGGGCGCAAGCCUGAUGCAGCCAUGCCGCGUGUGUGAAGAAGGCCUUCGGGUUGUAAAGCACUUUCAGCGGGGAGGAAGGCGGUGAGGUUAAUAACCUCAUCGAUUGACGUUACCCGCAGAAGAAGCACCGGCUAACUCCGUGCCAGCAGCCGCGGUAAUACGGAGGGUGCAAGCGUUAAUCGGAAUUACUGGGCGUAAAGCGCACGCAGGCGGUCUGUCAAGUCGGAUGUGAAAUCCCCGGGCUCAACCUGGGAACUGCAUUCGAAACUGGCAGGCUAGAGUCUUGUAGAGGGGGGUAGAAUUCCAGGUGUAGCGGUGAAAUGCGUAGAGAUCUGGAGGAAUACCGGUGGCGACGGCGGCCCCCUGGACAAAGACUGACGCUCAGGUGCGAAAGCGUGGGGAGCAAACAGGAUUAGAUACCCUAGUAGUC
RNAcentral lists this ribosomal RNA (465 nucleotides) under uncultured Klebsiella sp. Its description in RNAcentral is "bacterial SSU rRNA". It matches the Rfam family "Bacterial small subunit ribosomal RNA", at positions 338 to 795 of the family's 1533-position model. Lineage: Bacteria; Pseudomonadati; Pseudomonadota; Gammaproteobacteria; Enterobacterales; Enterobacteriaceae. The record is from RNAcentral.